This 400-nucleotide ribosomal RNA is filed under the name uncultured bacterium. RNAcentral's name for it is "bacterial SSU rRNA". It matches the Rfam family "Bacterial small subunit ribosomal RNA", at positions 355 to 772 of the family's 1533-position model. The record is from RNAcentral.
UGGGGAAUAUUGCGCAAUGGGGGAAACCCUGACGCAGCAACGCCGCGUGAAGGAUGAAGGUUUUCGGAUCGUAAACUUCUUUGAUCGGGGAAGAUAAUGACGGUACCCGAGGAACAAGCCACGGCUAACUACGUGCCAGCAGCCGCGGUAAUACGUAGGUGGCAAGCGUUAUCCGGAAUUACUGGGCGUAAAGGGCGUGUAGGCGGGAAGACAAGUCAGGAGUGAAACUCCGGAGCUUAACUCCGGAACUGCUUCUGAAACUGUCUUUCUUGAGUGUUGGAGAGGAAAGUGGAAUUCCCGGUGUAGCGGUGAAAUGCGUAGAGAUCGGGAGGAACACCAGUGGCGAAGGCGGCUUUCUGGACAAUAACUGACGCUGAGGCGCGAAAGCGUGGGGAGCAAA